RNAcentral lists this ribosomal RNA (1504 nucleotides) under metagenome. RNAcentral's name for it is "bacterial LSU rRNA". It matches the Rfam family "Bacterial large subunit ribosomal RNA", at positions 1277 to 2910 of the family's 2925-position model. The record is from RNAcentral.
UUAGAUCAGAAGCGAGAAUGUUGACAUGAGUAGCGAUAAAGAGGGUGAGAGACCCUCUCGCCGUAAGUCCAAGGGUUCCUGCUUAAAGCUAAUCUGAGCAGGGUAAGCCGCCCCUAAGGCGAGGCCGAAAGGCGUAGUCGAUGGGAACCACGUUAAUAUUCGUGGGCCAGGAGGAAGUGACGGAUCUCGAAGAUUGUCUGCCCUUAUCGGAUUGGGUGGGCCGUUCAGAGGUUCCAGGAAAUAGCCCUCCAUCAGACCGUACCCUAAACCGACACAGGUGGACUGGUAGAGUAUACCAAGGCGCUUGAGAGAACCACAUUUAAGGAACUCGGCAAAAUGCCUCCGUAAGUUCGCGAGAAGGAGGCCCCGUCUGUAGGCAACUAUGGGCGGGGGGCACAAACUAGGGGGUGGCGACUGUUUACUUAAAACACAGGGCUGUGCGAAGCCGUAAGGCGACGUAUACAGUCUGACGCCUGCCCGGUGCUGGAAGAUUAAGAGGAGGGGUGCAAGCUCUGAAUUGAAGUCCCAGUAAACGGCGGCCGUAACUAUAACGGUCCUAAGGUAGCGAAAUUCCUUGUCGGGUAAGUUCCGACCUGCACGAAUGGCGUAACGAUCUCCCCGCUGUCUCAAAUGUGGACUCAGCGAAAUUGAACUGUGUGUCAAGAUGCACACUACCCGCGGUUAGACGGAAAGACCCCAUGCACCUUUACUCCAGCUUUGCACUGGUAUCAGGAUUGUGAUGUGCAGGAUAGGUGGUAGGCAUCGAAGCGGGGACGCCAGUUCUCGUGGAGCCUCCCUUGAGAUACCACCCUUCGCCAUCUUGAUAUCUAACCGCGGCCCGUUAUCCGGGUCCGGGACCCUGCAUGGUGGGGAGUUUGACUGGGGCGGUCGCCUCCCAAAUCGUAACGGAGGCGCGCGAAGGUAGGCUCAGACCGGUCGGAAAUCGGUCGUUGAGUGCAAUGGCAGAAGCCUGCCUGACUGCAAGACUGACAAGUCGAGCAGAGACGAAAGUCGGUCAUAGUGAUCCGGUGGUCCCAAGUGGGAGGGCCAUCGCUCAACGGAUAAAAGGUACGCUGGGGAUAACAGGCUGAUGAUGCCCAAGAGUCCAUAUCGACGGCAUCGUUUGGCACCUCGAUGUCGGCUCAUCUCAUCCUGGGGCUGGAGCAGGUCCCAAGGGUACGGCUGUUCGCCGUUUAAAGAGGUACGUGAGCUGGGUUUAGAACGUCGUGAGACAGUUCGGUCCCUAUCUGCCGUGGGUGUAGGAGACUUGAGAAGAGUUGCCCCUAGUACGAGAGGACCGGGGUGAACGGACCACUGGUGGACCAGUUAUCGUGCCAACGGUAGUGCUGGGUAGCUAUGUUCGGACAGGAUAACCGCUGAAGGCAUCUAAGCGGGAAGCUCCCUUCAAAACAAGGUCUCCCUUGAGAGCCGUGGAAGACCACCACGUCGAUAGGCCAGAGGUGUAAGUGCAGCAAUGCAUUCAGCUGACUGGUACUAAUUGCUC